UCAGGAUUGCUACGCAGGGGAGAGGGCCGUGAACGAGGUUGAGUGUGGGUUCGUUGGCAGAUUUGGGCUGGGAUGAGAGGAAGUAGAAGGAGGGGGAAGGGUGUUCUGUGAUUGUAAUAUGGAUAGCUUCUCUGUUCAAAAUUCUCCAUGGUUCAUACUCACCUUCCAAGGGCGCUAUCUUGGAUGAUUCUAAUAAUGAGAUUACUGAAGAGGAAGUCGUAAGUCAGGGCAUUGACCUGAUUGCUUUGACUCUUUCGUGUCGAUUUUACUGGGAGAGGAGAGCUUGCAGAUCGCCAUGUCAAUUUCAUAUAUAUAGAUUGCUUUGGAGUAAUAUUACUCUAUAAUUAUUUGUUUUUGGGUUAGAAGUAGUCUAGUUUUGCUUGGUGUUCUCUUAAAUUAUGUUAUGAAUUGGCUUCAAGCCUUUUGACUUUGAUGAUAUAACAAGCCUUUUGUAUUGUUCCAAAAUGAAUGAUGUCCAUAUGGUUAACAACCAACACAAGAUUACAACAUAUGUUGUCUCAACAUGAAAAUGAACAACUAAGUCAUACCAAAAUCUGUUGUUUCUUGUUAUAUCAAACAACAGAAGUAAC
This is a long non-coding RNA of Rosa rugosa (rugosa rose), 590 nucleotides long. RefSeq lists it as uncharacterized. The record is from RefSeq and is a predicted model, not a curated record. Lineage: Eukaryota; Viridiplantae; Streptophyta; Magnoliopsida; Rosales; Rosaceae. The transcript has 3 exons.